RNAcentral lists this ribosomal RNA (468 nucleotides) under uncultured bacterium. RNAcentral's name for it is "partial 16S ribosomal RNA". It matches the Rfam family "Bacterial small subunit ribosomal RNA", at positions 28 to 507 of the family's 1533-position model. The record is from RNAcentral.
GACGAACGCUGGCGGCGUGCUUAACACAUGCAAGUCGAACGGAAAGGCCCUGCUUUUGUGGGGUGCUCGAGUAGCGAACGGGUGAGUAACACGUGAGUAACCUGCCCUUGACUUUGGGAUAACUUCAGGAAACUGGGGCUAAUACCGGAUAGGAGCUCCUGCUGCAUGGUGGGGGUUGGAAAGUUUCGGCGGUUGGGGAUGGACUCGCGGCUUAUCAGCUUGUUGGUGGGGUAGUGGCUUACCAAGGCUUUGACGGGUAGCCGGCCUGAGAGGGUGACCGGCCACAUUGGGACUGAGAUACGGCCCAGACUCCUACGGGAGGCAGCAGUGGGGAAUAUUGCACAAUGGGCGGAAGCCUGAUGCAGCAACGCCGCGUGCGGGAUGACGGCCUUCGGGCUGUAAACCGCUUUCGCCUGUGACGAAGCGUGAGUGACGGUAAUGGGUAAAGAAGCACCGGCUAACUACGUG